Thalassophryne amazonica is the source of this 330-nucleotide long non-coding RNA. RefSeq lists it as uncharacterized. NCBI's taxonomy places the organism in Eukaryota, Metazoa, Chordata, Actinopteri, Batrachoidiformes, Batrachoididae. The record is from RefSeq and is a predicted model, not a curated record. The transcript is spliced from 3 exons.
GUGAUUAAGAGACCACUGAGAGCAGAAGAGGAGACUAACGCUGGAUGCUUGUUGACUGGGAUUCCUCACAAAGAAGCAUCACAUAGCUACCCAAGAGUUAGCAGCUAGCUUCAAAUGGCGGGGCCUUUGUUCCGUGAUAUCGACGCUGUGACUAUCAAAAGAAGCAACCACGCCGGCUGCCAUAAGAGUUGUUGAAUCAGUGAAUCCUCCAUCUGAUCAGUGGGUUGAGUGUUUGCCUGCAGUUGAUUCGCACCAGCCCGAUUAUGCAGAGGAGAAGCAGAAUGACAUCAUUCACAGUAUCGAACAGCUGAAUGACAGAGUUGAUGCACU